CUGUUAUUUUCCUUCUUAAUCUCCUCCAUCUUGAUAACCCGAUCUCGCCUUUUAUUGAUCACUCGGCCAAAAACGAUGCAAAACCUAAAUCCUUCAAUUUGUCGGCAGAACACGUGAUUGCAAAAUUAUCAUUUGGAUUUCCAUUCAAGUUGCAGAAGGAGACUAAAUAUACUACGUUGCGAGGGUUUGGUUGUAGUGCACAUUCCAUAAGAUCUAAAGAUGGAUGCAGCAGGAAUUUUUUUUGUGCGCAGAAAUAACAGUGCUUACACUAUUCAAAGAUAGCUACUAACUGAAAGGUCAAGUAAAACAUUCUAAGUACGGGGCUCAUAAGGUAUUCUAGGUCAUGUUGUUCUUAUGUUUCGGCAACAGUGUUACUGCCAUAGGCAUGUUUUAUUCUCAAGAGGCCAAAGCAAAAGUGCGUCAAGGUGUUGAGCAUUUUUGUCAGCAAUGAUACAGAACAAAUUGUAGGUUGCGGCUUAACAGGAUCACGCGAUGGUUAUUUGAUUAUGUCGACAAGGGUGAUAGUUUAAAAACAUACUGCCGUUUAUAAAAGAAAUAAAAAAUUGCAGGACUGUUACGGAGUAUAUAUAUAUAUAUAUUUUUUAUUAUUUUUCACUACGGUACCAUUAUAUUGAUUAAGUUGUUAUGUCGAUCAAUGUUCAUGCUAGGAUGUG
Molecule: long non-coding RNA, 674 nt
Organism: Papaver somniferum (opium poppy)
Lineage: Eukaryota; Viridiplantae; Streptophyta; Magnoliopsida; Ranunculales; Papaveraceae
Exons: 4
Source: RefSeq, a predicted model, not a curated record